CGGGGAGGUAGUGACGAAAAAUAACGAUACGGGACUCAUCCGAGGCCCCGUAAUCGGAAUGAGAACAUUCUAAACCCUUUAACGAGAAUCAAUUGGAGGGCAAGUCUGGUGCCAGCAGCCGCGGUAAUUCCAGCUCCAAUAGCGUAUAUUAAAGUUGUUGCGGUUAAAAAGCUCGUAGUCGAAAUUGUGUCUCGCGCCGCCGGUUCAUCGUUCGCGGUGCUAACUGGCGUGUCGCGAGACGUCCUGCCGGCGGGCUUAGCUCGCAAGAGCGGUCCAACUUAAUCCCGCCGCGGUGCUCUUUACUGAGUGUCGAGGUGGGCCGGCACGUUUACUUUGAACAAAUUAGAGUGCUUAAAGCAGGCUCAAACUUCGCUUGAAUAUUGCGUGCAUGGAAUAAUGAAAGAGGACCUCGGUUCUAUUUUGUUGGUUUUCAGAACCACGAGGUAAUGAUUAACAGGAACGGAUGGGGGCAUUCGUAUUGCGACGUUAGAGGUGAAAUUCUUGGAUCGUCGCAAGACGGACAGAAGCGAAAGCAUUUGCCAAAAACGUUUUCAUUGAUCAAGAACGAAAGUUAGAGGUUCGAAGGCGAUCAGAUACCGCCCUAGUUCUAACCAUAAACGAUGCCAGCUAGCGAUCCGCCGACGUUCCUCCGAUGACUCGGCGGGCAGCUUCCGGGAAACCAAAGCUUUUGGGUUCCGGGGGAAGUAUGGUUGCAAAGCUGAAACUUAAAGGAAUUGACGGAAGGGCACCACCAGGAGUGGAGCCUGCGGCUUAAUUUG
This 779-nucleotide ribosomal RNA is filed under the name Chilocorus bipustulatus. Its description in RNAcentral is "SSU rRNA". It matches the Rfam family "Eukaryotic small subunit ribosomal RNA", at positions 457 to 1197 of the family's 1831-position model. The record is from RNAcentral. Lineage: Eukaryota; Metazoa; Arthropoda; Insecta; Coleoptera; Coccinellidae.